RNAcentral lists this ribosomal RNA (314 nucleotides) under uncultured eukaryote. RNAcentral describes it as "partial large subunit ribosomal RNA". It matches the Rfam family "Eukaryotic large subunit ribosomal RNA", at positions 40 to 350 of the family's 3401-position model. The record is from RNAcentral.
AUAUCAAUAAGCGGAGGAAAAGAAACUAACAAGGUUUCCCCUAGUAACGGCGAGUGAAGCGGGAAGAGCUCAAAUUUGGAAUCUGGCGCCUCCGGCGUCCGAGUUGUAAGCUAGAGAGGUGUUUUCGGCGGGAGCCCGGGUAUAAGUCCUCUGGAACAGGGCAUCGUAGAGGGUGAGAAUCCCGUCUUUGACCCGGAGCGACCCGCUAUGUGAUACACCUUCGAAGAGUCGGUUUGUUUGGGAAUGCAGACCAAAAUGGGUGGUAAAUUCCAUCUAAAGCUAAAUACAGGCGAGAGACCGAUAGCGCACAAGUA